CUUUGCAACCCCACAGAAGCUGCUGUAUGGAAACUUUAAUUGCAUUACUUCUGCUUCUGCAUAAUCCCAGAAGAACUAGCUUCAUUCAGACUGCUCCAACUCAGACACUGGAUAGUUUCAACAUGGCAUAGACUAUUACCUCGCUCUAAUUACAGGAUCACGUUACAUGUCCAACAACUGCUGCAAUUUAGUCUUGCCUGAUACACCCCAGCUCAAAAUUGCUCAUCCCACCUCUCACUCCCAUACUUUUCAGCAUCUUUUGAAUAAAAGCAGAGACAGCUUGCAACACUUCAGCACCUGACACACGCGCACCCCAAGCCCCAGGAAGGUAAAGUCAUUAUUUCCUUGCGGUAGCAAAGGAUCACUGCUAACAACCACCGCCGCACAAUACCACGAAUCUGCACGUCGCUCCUCCAGCCAGGUGUUGAUCUCGCACAGAGCCUCUCCGUGCAAGAAAGGAGUUUUCAGAGAAGCAAAAGCUGCAGGAUCAGGCCCUCGGAGUUUCACUACCUCAAAGGCAGGGGACGUUCCUUACAGCAGCGCACGUCUUGCCUUUGAGCUCCAAACCGCAUCCGCAGCCCCCGCUGCCAUGAAAGGGAAAGGUUUUCUCCCUGCAACCGCUCGCCCGCGCCUGAGCCGAAUGCUAACAGGUCUCUUACUUGCGUCUCGCCUCGCCACCGCCUCAUGCUCUACGGGGGAUAUUUUGUUCCCCAAGCGGACGAGCUGUCCGGCCAUCGCUCCACGAUGAUUCAGCAAGGGGGUGGCUCCCCGUCGGAAGGCACACCUACUGCGAACUGUCAUACCACGGGGCUGGGUGAAAAUGGGAGAAGUUGCUUUAUCUAUCAUGGCUGCACUUUCUGAAAUGCGUAGACCUGGCCUGGUAGGGUCGAGGGGGGCGAAGGGUGGGGUGUGUGUAUAGGGGGGGCGGGGAGGGGGGGUCCAUCAGCAGGCACAUGGAAAUAAUUCAUGGAAAUAUCUCGAGGCUUUUAACUAUGGCACAAGUAAAUGAGGCAAAAAAAAAAAAAAAAGCCAGACACUUUCGGAGCCAGCAUCAACUUCGCCAGGCUGUGUUCUUUGUUUCUAGGCAGACUCCAGUGCAGUGGCAAGAAUGAACAAAUGCGCAUGUCUUCAUAAGAGUCCAAAAAAAAAAAAAAAGGGGGGAAAAAAAAUCCCCCCUCCCCUCAGGCCCCUCUCUCAUCGCUGUAGCGGUGGGGGAGUCCUCCAGAUAGUUUGUGCUGCUUUUUCAGAAGUGAAAGUCCGCUUCCACCCUGCCCUGAGCAGGCAUUUCGCUACGCUACGAGGCAUUCGUGGGUGAGACAGCGCCUGGAACACUUUCGGCUGCAAAAAUUAGUUUUGCUGAGGGAUUUUUUUUUGUUGGUUUUUUCUUUACUUUUUUUUUUUUUUAAAGAACGAAGCGACACCCUAGCAAAACACCGCGACGCGCCAGCCCCCCCUCCGCAGCCUCUCCCGCGGCCGGCCGGCCAGCCCGCCGCCGGCAGACAAAGGAGCGAUGCGCCGCCAAGGAGCCGCGCCGGCACCCGCGGGCCAGCCCGCCGCCGCUCCCGGGACAAGCGCCAGCGGCCGCCGAGCCCCGGACGCGGGACGAGCCGCCGCCGCCACAGACAUG
This 1627-nucleotide long non-coding RNA is filed under the name Otus sunia (Oriental scops-owl). Its description in RNAcentral is "lncRNA (ENSOSUG00000004676.1)". The record is from RNAcentral. Lineage: Eukaryota; Metazoa; Chordata; Aves; Strigiformes; Strigidae.